Molecule: long non-coding RNA, 3177 nt
Filed under: Anolis carolinensis (green anole)
Lineage: Eukaryota; Metazoa; Chordata; Lepidosauria; Squamata; Anolidae
Description: lncRNA (ENSACAG00000037821.1)
Source: RNAcentral
AUGCAUUUGCAGCUUAAUUCUGCAGUACUAUCCCCUUACCUCUAUAUCCAUGGUUCAAUAUCCAGUGUUCUCAAGAAUAUUCCCUGGAAGUGUUUGUGGGCCUCUCUUGGUUCUCCACUGUUGUUCUAUGACAAUGAUGGGCAACCUUUUGCGCUUGAUAUGUCAAAAUUCACCAAAAAAUCUAGCAUGACUUGGGUGGUGUGUCACUUCGAGAAAAAAACCCAUAAUUUUGCAUUAAUAAUAAUAAUAACUUUAUUUUUAUACUCCGCCCCAUCUCCCCAGAGGGACUCGGAGCGGCUUACAUGGGGCCAUGCCCGACAACAAUACAACAGCAGCAAUAAAACAAUAAAACAAAUAUCGAGAAUAAAACAAAUGUCGCAUCAAUAAAACAUCAACAUCAGUAAACAGUCAUAAAAGUCGGCAUACAGCAUAAAAUGAUUAAAAACGGGAAGGCUAAAAACAUGGAUCUGGGCCAGAGUGCAGAAAACUUCAACAUGGGAGAGGUAGUUUCACAGUUAAAACAGUCAAUAAAGUGCAAAAUAAUCAUGGCCAGGCAUCCUAUUGUUAGAUGGGCACUUGUUCUUGUUUACAGUUUGACCAUGUUUUAAGGCAGUAGUCACCAUAGGUUGAUGGGCGUUGUUCUGAGUUUGAAAUUCUUGUUUUAUAUGCUAUUGGUUUUAUUUUUGAAUUGUACUCUAUGUUUAUUUUAUGUGGUGUUUUAGGUACUUUGUGUCAUAUGUAAGCUGCCCCAAGUCCCUUUGGGGAGAAGGAGGUGGGGUACAAAAAUUAAGUUGUUAUUAUUAUUAUUAUUAUUAUUAUUAUUAUUAUUAUUAUUAUUAUUAUUUCUUACUUCUAAUUUCACUUUGGAAUCCAAAUUAGAUCAGAUAUUGGCAUUAUUUGAAUCUUUAACAUCUGUUUUCUGAAACAGAUGUAUGAUAUUGAGACCUCCAUCCAAAUGGAGAAAUGUAAAAACAUCUUGUUUUUACUGCAGAAAUGUGCAUUUUUAAUUUUUUUUAAAUGAAAAAACAAAACAAUUACUGGGAAGCAGAAUUUUUUUAAAAAAAUCUGGUAUAACAGUACUUUAAAAAAUCAAUAUAGUAAUAUCAACAACAGGAAAACACACUAAAUGUAGAAAAACAGAAUACAUAUGAUCUUUAAGCCACCCCUUUCAGUGGGAAACCCACAAUCUUUUCAAUCACUUCUGGUCAUACAAACCUCAUGAUUUGUUAACAGAAGGUGAGCUGCCAACAACCUGGAGAUGAGUGUACUAUCACACAUCAAAACCCCUGGGGCACAAAGAAAUAAGGGAUGAAUGAAGUCGAUUGUUGCUCUAUUUUAGAAAAGCUACUGUUGGUAGAUGCCUAUGGAUUGCCUACAAAAGGGACCAUGCAUCAUAUGAUAGGAACUGUAGGAACCAGUACGCAAAGGGUGUCAGAAACUAGCUAUAUGACUGUGUGAUAAGGUCCUAUACAAUUAGCAUUUUUAAAAUGCAGCAAUUAAGUGCAACAAUGCACUUAAUGUCACAUCUACUUUCACUCAUGGAGAUGCCAGGCUUGGGUUGUAAUCUGGAUCUCUGCCUACGCACUUUGCUUCCAAAUCGAACAAUGUCUUUAUUUCUCUUUUUUCUCAAAAUAUAUGUUGUCUCUCUUAAACUCCUUGUUUUUCAUCUUCUCAUUUCACUUCUACCAAGAAAUGGCAGGUGAUAUCUUCCACUCUUUUGAGGUCAUGCAAUUCAGGCAAAUUUUGUCCAAGCAGCAGGUUUUUAUUUGUGAAAUGUAAAUAAGAAAAUUUAAUAUGCUGCAAAUCCCCAAUAAAAGCCUGAGUAAAAAAUUUAUUUCGGUUGCUUGUGUUAACACUUAAGACUGGCAGCUUCUGCUCCUGCAACAAACAUUAUGCUUGUUUUUAACAAGCCCAUCAGUUCUAUCACAAACCUGAUUGCUGCUUUAAUUUCUAAAGUAUCUGGCUCUAACAACAAAAAGCGCUAAGCAUUCAAGACACCCUUGUCUCAUGUUUUGUGGAAUCAAGCAAAGUCUGUCUAGGAAGUUGAAGAACAGAAAACUACUUCACCUCUAACUCAAGCAGCGCUCAAAGUCACCUAGAGUUUUACAUGAAAAAAGGAAAAUUUAUUCUUUUGUUCUGUACAGCUUGAUGGGAGAGAAAAGCACCAUUUUACACCUUUGCCUCUUUGCCUUUCAGUAGAAAUUAUCAGGAGCUAUAAAAUGUUUCAACCAUUUUUUUCCAAAAAGAGAAGGGGCUCCAGGUCCAAUAAAUUUCCUAGUACAUCGGUCUUAUUGUGUUGCCAUUCUGGAGCCAAUGUGUGUGUGUGUGUGCACACAAGGGUGUGUGUAUAGACCAUUUUUCCUUCCUUGUGGUUUGUGGUAAGCUUUACUAACACAUAAUUGGUAACAAUUCUCUAGAGAGAGCAUUACAAAUGUACAUAUCUGCACGAACCCCUCUUCAUUCUAAUGGUAUAUAACUGAACUGCUCCAGACCAAAAUAACUAUGAGGAAUGUAUUGUUGAAGGUUUUCAUAGUCGGAAUCACUGGGUUGCUGUGAGCUUUCCUCUGAGAAUGCCUGCCAUAGAUGUGGGCAAAACAUCAGGAGAGAAUGCUUCUGGAACAUGGCCACACAGUCUGGAAAACUCACAGCAAAAUAUCAGGAGAGAAUGCUUCUGGAACAUAGCCAUACAGUCUGGAAAACUCACAGCAACCCAACUAUGAGGAAUGUUUGCAACCUGUGAGGUUUCUUAUUUAAGGAAAAAAUACAUAUUGAGGAGGUUCUAUAAAAAGGUAAAGUAAGAAGAAAGAAGGUAGACAUGCAUAAAAUUAUACAGAAUGGUUGAGAACCACUGAAUUGAUGAAGCUCCAUUGGAUGUUAUGUCAAGGGAACAUGCACUUCCUGCACUUGCCUGCUCUUUUUUCGACUCAUUAUUUUUUAUUUUGUAAAGAAACAUAAUACAUUGAAAGUGGUGGAACAAUAUAUUGAUAGGAAAGUGAGGGAGUUGGAAGGGUUCUGAAAAUAGGUGACAAGAGAAAACCGGUGGGGGGGGGGGGGGAGAAAGAAAGAAAGAAAAGAAAAGAAAAUAAUAAUAAUGAUAAUUUAAAAAAUUGAUUGACUUCCCAUCUUGACCUUGGAGUUUUCUCUUUCGUUGAUUACAUAUUGGUAUUUUCCCUUAGU